Molecule: long non-coding RNA, 5835 nt
Filed under: Sus scrofa (pig)
Lineage: Eukaryota; Metazoa; Chordata; Mammalia; Artiodactyla; Suidae
Description: lncRNA (ENSSSCG00065037172.1)
Source: RNAcentral
UUUUAGGGCUUCACCUGUGGCAAAUGGAAGUUCCCAGGCUAGGGAACAAAACAGAACUGCAGCUGCUGGCCUAUGACACAGCCACAGUAAUGUGGGAUCUGAGCCGUGUCUGUAACCUACACCAUAGCUCAAGGCAAUGCUGGAUCCUUAACCUACUGAGCAGGGCCAGGGAUCAAACUUGCGUCCUUAAGGAUACUAGUUGGGUUUGUUUCCACUCAACCACAACAGGAACUCCCUAAAUUAAAGUCUUAAAUGUGAACCUGGAAACCACAAAACUCCUAGAAGAGAACAUAGGUAGAAAACUCUUUGUUGUAAAUCACUGCAAUAUUUUGGGGGAUCUGUCUCCUAAGGCAAAAGAAAUAAAAGCAAAAAUAAACAAAUGAGACCUAACUACAAAGUUUUUCACAGCAAAGGAAACCUUUGACAAAAUGAGGAGACAAUCUACUGAAUAGGAGAAGAUAUUUGCAAAUGAUAUGACAAAAAAAGAGUGAAUAUUGGAGUACCCAUCAUGGCUCAGUGGUUAACGAACCCGACUAAUAUCCAUGAGGAUGUGGGUUUGAUCCCAGGCCUUGCUCAGUGGGUUAAGGAUCUGUCAUCUGGCAUUGCCAUGAGCUGUGGUGUAGGUCACAGACAUGGCUUGGAUUCUGCGUUGCUGUGGCUAUGAUGUAGGCCAGCAGCUACAGUUCCAGUUCGAACCCUAGCCUGGGAGCCUCCAUAUACAGCAUGUGAGGCCCUGAAAAGAAAAAAAAGAGUUAACAUCAAAAAAUAAACAAACAGCUCAUACAACUCAGUAUCAAAAAAACCCAAACAACCUGAUUAAAAAAUGGGCAAAAGACCUGAACAGACAUUUUCCCAAAGAAGACAUACAGGUGGCUAAAAGGCACAUGAAAAGAUGUUCAACACUGCUAAUUAUUAGAGAAAUGCAAAUCAAAACCACAAUGAGAUAUCACCUUAUACCUGUCAGAAUGGCUAUCAUCAGAAAGUCUAAAUAAGGAUGUGAAGAAAAGGGAACCCCUGUACACUGAUGAUUAGAGUAUAAAUUGGUGCAGCUACUACAGAAAACAGUAUGGAAGUUCCACAAAAAAUGGAAAACAGAACUACCAUAUGAUCCAAUAAUUCUAUUCUUGGGUAUAUAUCUGGAAAAAAUGAAAAUACUAAUUCAAAAAACCAUAUGAAACCCAAUGUUUCACAGCAGCAUUAUUUACAAUAGCCAAGAUAUAGAAAUAACUCAAAUGUCCAUCAACAGAUGAAUGUUCCCUAUAACACAAAAGAAUAUUACUCAGCCAUAAAAAAGAAACAUUGCCAUUUGCAACAGCACAGAUGGACCUAGAGAGUAGGACACUUAGCGAAAUCAGUCACUCAGCAAAAAGACAAAUACUCUAUGCUAUCACUUAUAUGUGGAAUUUAAAAAACAAAUGAAUGUAUAAAACAAAACAGACACUGACUCACAGAUACAGAAAACAAACCAAUGGAUACCAGUGGGGUGAGGAAAGGGGCAAGAUAUGGGCAUGGAAUUAAGAGAUGCAAACUCCUAUGUACAAAAUGGAUAAGCAACAAGUCCAUAUACCCAGCACAUGGUUAAUAUAGCCAUUAUUUUAGAUUAACUUUAAAAGGAUUUUCAUCUAUAAAGAUACGGAAUCACUACGCCAUACACCUGAAACUAACAGUGUAAAUCAACCAUAUUUUGAUACAUUUUUUUGUAAAUAAGAGAAACUAUACAAAAAUUGGUAAUAAAUCUGUAAUGUUCUAACCCCCCCCAUUAUAGACUUUGGUCAUACAGAGGGAUGAGUACACAGUAAACAGAAGGGUAAAACGGAGGUAUGACCUAGUUAAAUGGUAAGAAAAGGAUUCCUUAGUGGUUUAUAUUAUAUAAAUGUUACAUUAUGUUACAUAUAAAACUAUAUUUGGAGAUAAAAAGAAAGGAUAAAUUUAACAUUUUUAAAGAUUUAAAGAUUCCUCCACUCCAAACUUUCCAUUUACAGGUGAAUAAACCAAGGGCCAAUCAUCUCAUCUUGGCCACGGAGCCAUUAACUGGAUUGAAUUCUUUGUGGCUUACAGAAGCAGCCCCAUGACUGACAGGUAGACGGAUGGACGGAUGGAUGCAUGGAUGGAUGGGUAGGUAGAUAAUAGAUAGUAUGUACAUCUUAUGGAUAUGUUUAAAUACAUGAGUAUGUAUGAAAAUGUGCAGAUGUAUUUCUCUAGGGCCAAAAAUACUUCCCUGAGUAUGGCCAACUAUGAACCUGUCAGAAAACAAACAAAAGAGAAACAUAAUGGCUUCAUAAUACCACUUGGAUCACUAGAAGGAAGCUGGAGAGGACCAUGUUAGCCUUUCUAAUUCUCUUACUGAUGUUGUACCCACAACAUCAUUUAAAACUUACACCAAGUAUUUCAUGUGAAUAUCUCGUUUCUUCAUAACACCUCUGUGCAACAAGUGUGAUUAUUAUCCUACUUUCAGAGAAAAAAAAAAAAAAACCCAAAGAUAUAAAAAGGUUGAGCUGUUUGCUUCAAGUCCAGCAGCUAGUAGGUGUCAGAUCCAGUAUUUGAACCCAAAUUUGUAAGAUUUCUACCUGCGGUGUUAACUGUGAUCCCCCUUCUCUCUCUCUCUCUCAACCACUCUCUAGAACUGAGAAAAGAACUUCAUUCUACAUAUGACAACACUCAAUGAAAUCAUAAAUCUAAUUAGCAAAAACUUUUGCUUUUGAACCCAACAUGACAACAUUCUGUCUUCCACAUGCAGAGAUGGGGCUGGGGUCAUGUACAGUGGGUCCGUCUUAUCCUCCCCUGUGAGGCACUGCCUUCCAAAGGCCUCCCAGGUGGGCAGGGCUCUCUUCCAGAUCUGACCUCCCUCCUCUCCUCCAGAUCCCAGCAGAGCAAAAACAAUCAGGCCUGCUCGGAUGCAGUUAACAGGAACCCACGCUGGGGCUUUGUAUUUUGUGUUUUUAAGGAUCGGCUAUGCAUGCAAUAGCCAAGUGGUCUUUAACUUCGUUCCUAUCAUGGUGACUAGGACAGCGAUCUGUCUUAGCACGGACUGGUGAGAACAAUAAGUGCAAACAGUAUCUGUGGUUUUGGAACCCUAGGCAAAAAGCUGAAGUGUCAACUCCCACUGUGACAAAACUGAUGUGAACGAAAUUUUAAAUACCUUUAAAAAUGAUCUCAGAACUCAAGGGCUUUGUGAUCCCAGAGUGAUCACAUCACUAGGGGGCAGGGGCGCUGUGCAAGCCCCACAGCAUAUGUUUCUCUAUAGGCCAGCGUUCACUUAUCUUCCUACAAUGUGCAGGCUCACAGAGGAGCACCAUGGAAUGAAGAGCAUGUGAAAUGUAUGCAAAUGAGAGCUGGUGUUUCCGAAGCCCCAGGUGGUAAGCUGGCAAGGAGGCAUUUAUGAUUCAGGCCACACAGCUACAGCAGGUAAAGGUGUAUGGAUGCCUCCCCAACACGGUGUAUUUUAGAUCGGGAGUCAGCCUGCUUUAAAAUCCUAUCACAACCACUUAGAAGCUGUCUCACCUUGGAUGAGUUAUUUAAGCUCUUGAAACCCCAGUGUCCUCAUCUAUACAAUGGAAAUGAUACCUCACAGUGUCAUAGCGCAGUUAAACAGAGAAAAUGCACAUAUACAUUACUUAGUAAGGUGACUGGCAAACAUUCAAUAGUGCCAAAGAGAGGUUAGCUGCUGUGACUGCACAUUUAUUUUUAACGUUUCUUAGAAAUAGUCUUACUGGGAGGUUGCUAUUCGGUAUACACAAUACCACACAAAGUUUCUCCAACAUAAAUUCUAGCUAAAAAUGGAGACGUAUUUGCACAUACAGACAGAGAUGUUUAUGUCAUAUUUCAAAACUAUUAGAAGGUUAAUCUAAGUGUGAGACACAAUUAUUAGGCAUCAUGUGUUUAAGGGUUACAGUAUCUGUUACUGGGUAACAGAGCUGCUUAUUAUUACUCUUAUCCCUGUUGAUGUUCCGAUUUCUCUGAUAAUCUCAAUUUUUCCACGUACAAGUAUCAGAACAUCUGCUUCUUUACAAAGUGUAACAUGCAGAAAGAAUUUUCCAACUCCUUCUCUUGCCUACUUCUCUGAACCAAUUACACUGUCCUGGGUAGUGGAGAAUACUGAUUCUGUUUCCCACCUCCUUUGCAUAUGGCAUAUGCAGAUGUUGCUGGACCAACAUUUCCCCAAUGAGAACGUCCCAUUUUAUUCAACCAACACUUAAAAAAUUCCUCUCUUGGCUUGGGCUCUACUCUAGUCAUGCUACAGUUCCUAGUUACUUCACAUUAGAAGGAGAGGGACUUGCCAGUAUACUUUUCUACUGUACAUGUGGCUGAAAUGAAAACAAACUCCAGAACCGCUGGGAAUGUGGGGAUGGAAUUUUGAAUAUUCUGUGAAGCAAGCCAUAAGUCGAUUCCAGCCACAUGUGUCUCUUCCAACUAUUUUUGUCACCAUUUUCCCAGUCUAAAAUCUUUAACUCCAAGGAAAGACCACUGACUCCACCACCCUAAGUGUUACAUUUAAAUCCUAGCAGGAGGAUGUAACAUCCUUAGGAAGAAGAUGUGCUUAUUUUCAAACUGAGAGUAUAUUUCAAGAAACGUAAAACUCUCUAUGUCUAUGUAUCUAAGUAUAUAUGUUUUUUCUUUUAGAGAACUUGUAAAAUGUGUAUGUAGAAUAUUUUUUAAAAUAUUAACAUCAAGAAAUGUUAUUAUAUCACUUAAGUCUGAAAUUACCCAUGACUAUGCAUUCAUAUAUUCAUUGACACUUAUUGGUACUAUCUUAAUCUGUAAGACUUAGGAUACCAAAGUGAAAACAAACAGUCCUUUUCCUCUAGCGCCUUUAAAAAUAGUUAAAGAAUAAAGAAUGCGCUCAAAUAAUUAGAUUGUGGAGUAGCAUGGGAUGGAGCCACAAAAGAGGGAAAAACUGAGGUUCAUGGGCUUUUGAAAAAUGAGAUUCACUUUUAGGUGGGUGGGCAGGAUGCCCUGAAACCAGAUGCAAAGAACAUGAUGAGAUAAGAAGAUCAGCAAGGUUCAUGGACAAGGUUGCAUCUGAGUCAGCUGUUUAUAGCCUUUAGUAAAUAAUUGUAGAGGAAGGGCAUUCCAGGUGGAGGAAAACAGAUAUCCAAGGGUGCAGAAGAGCAAUGGCAUAGACUGCAUGCACAAGGUGGGGAUUGCUGCUUCAAAGCAAGGCUGGAACCAGGAAGGUAAGAGACAAAAUAUAGUUUCAAAGGACCUGGGUCCUGUCCUUACAGAAUCAGGAUGCAGAGAAUGGCGAAGGGUUAAAGAUCACAAAGACCUUAAGCCUCUAUAGCUGAAAUGAGGUUGACACCUUGGAAAGAAAUAGGAAAAUUAGGUUAAACAUAAAUAGCAUUAUUAUUUUUUUUGUGUGUGGAGUUCCUGUGGUGGCUCAGUGGUUAACGAAUCUAACUAAGAACCACGAGGUUGUGGGUUUGAUCCCUGGCCUCACUCAGGGGGUAAGGAUCCAGCAUUGCCGUGAGCUGUGGUAUAGGUCGCAGACGUGGCUUGGAGCCCGCAUUGCUGUGGCUCUGGUCUAGGCCAGCGGCUACGGCCCUGAUUGGACCCUUAGCCUGGGAACCUCCACCUGCUGCAGGUGCAGCCCUAGAAAAGACCGAAAGACAAAAAAUAAAUAAAUAAAUAGUAUUUUUGGAAACCGUGAUAAACUCAGGUUGUGUAUCACUGAAUCUGACCUACUGGGAUUUCAACAGAAACUAUCACAAGUACUGUGAAUAAAUUAUACUGGCCCAGAUGAUAAGGACCUCAGGUGGCACAUGCCUUAUUCAAUCUCAUGCCACUGACCCUGCCCUCUCCUCCUCAGAGAUGGCACAGCAAGCACUUUCCAUUUUC